AUACGGAGGGUGCAAGCGUUAUUCGGAAUCACUGGGCGUAAAGGACGCGUAGGCGGGUUGGCAAGUCAGAUGUGAAAUCCUACAGCUUAACUGUAGAACUGCAUUUGAAACUGAUAACCUAGAGUAUGGGAGGGGGAGAUGGAAUUAGUGGUGUAGGGGUAAAAUCCGUAGAUAUCACUAGGAAUACCGAAAGCGAAGGCGAUCUCCUGGAACAUAACUGACGCUAAGGCGUGAAAGCGUGGGGAGCAAACAGGAUUAGAAACCCCAGUAGUCC
RNAcentral lists this ribosomal RNA (274 nucleotides) under uncultured bacterium. RNAcentral's name for it is "partial 16S ribosomal RNA". It matches the Rfam family "Bacterial small subunit ribosomal RNA", at positions 523 to 796 of the family's 1533-position model. The record is from RNAcentral.